CCUCCUUGCCUCCUCCCUCCCUCCCUUGUUUCCUUCAUCUCCUUGGUUUCCAUUACUUCUCCACUUAGAGCUUCAAGGGUGAGAAUCAUUGCGGAGCACUAUAGAGACGGUGAUCAAGCUGGGGAAGAGAUCAUCGUCGACAACUUGUCGGCAAACCUAGAGGACCACUUGAGAAGUGACUUUGGGUCUUCGCAUUGUGUCUUGGAGUAGAGUAUUUUCGAGGUUCUGAGGCCUUGCAGGCUUAUAGGGCUAACGCCCUGUGGGUCUGCGGUCGUUUGUACGUGCGUCGGGUCCGGCCGGGCCGAGUUAGGGCGUGACAAAAUCAAACGUACCCUCCAUCAAACCAGGCAGCUUAUGAAACACAAUGCAGGCAGCGAUAAGCAAGACAAAGAAUUUAAAUCAAUGGGUUUAGUCUAUGUCAAGCUGCAAACUUACCGACAAGUGACUGUCCAACGCCGAACCUCAAACAAGCUUUUCCAACAUUAUUUCAGGCCAUUCACAAUUAUUCGUCACAUCAGCAUAGUGGCUUAUUAGCUAGAUCUGCCAGAAUAGUCUUGAAUCCACUCGGUUUUCCAUGUCUCAAAACUUGGAGAAUGCAAAGGAACACCAUCUGACAAUGAGACAAAGUUGGCACUGGAGUCGCUUAACCGAGAACCUUUUACAAGUAAGAAGUGUUAAGAGAUCAGGGAAACUAAAGAAAGAAGCCUUGAUCAAAUGGUCUGGUCUUGGUGACGAGGAGUCAAGCUGGGGAGAGGAGUAUUGAUAUGGCCAAUGGGCCCGAUGAAAAAAAGAAGCCCAAAUGCAGCUUGAAGAAGCCCAAUUGAACUGAAGAUUAUGUUAUAUAAAACCUGUUUACUUAAUUCUGCAGAUUUUUAAUCUGCUUUUGAAUUGGUCAAUGAUGUCUAACCGUAAAC
This is a long non-coding RNA of Dioscorea cayenensis subsp. rotundata (Guinea yam), 914 nucleotides long. RefSeq lists it as uncharacterized. NCBI's taxonomy places the organism in Eukaryota, Viridiplantae, Streptophyta, Magnoliopsida, Dioscoreales, Dioscoreaceae. The record is from RefSeq and is a predicted model, not a curated record. The transcript is spliced from 3 exons.